RNAcentral lists this ribosomal RNA (497 nucleotides) under uncultured Glomeromycotina. RNAcentral describes it as "partial small subunit ribosomal RNA". It matches the Rfam family "Eukaryotic small subunit ribosomal RNA", at positions 591 to 1092 of the family's 1831-position model. Lineage: Eukaryota; Fungi; Glomeromycota. The record is from RNAcentral.
CCAAUAGCGUAUAUUAAAGUUGUUGCAGUUAAAAAGCUCGUAGUUGAAUUUCAGGCCUGGCUGGACGGUCCGCCCUUCGGGUGAGUACUGUCUGUGGUCGGGUCCUACCUUCUGGCGAAGCGUCAUGGCCUUAACCGGCCGUGGCGGGGAACCAGGACUUUUACUGUGAAAAAAUUAGAGUGUUCAAAGCAGGCAAUCGCGUGGAUACAUUAGCAUGGAAUAAUGGAAUAGGACAAUGGUUCUAUUUGUUGGUUUCUAGGACCGUUGUAAUGAUUAAUAGGGAUAGUUGGGGGCAUUAGUAUUCAAUUGUCAGAGGUGAAAUUCUUGGAUUUAUUGAAGACUAACUACUGCGAAAGCAUUUGCCAAGGAUGUUUUCAUUAAUCAAGAACGAAAGUUAGGGGAUCGAAGACGAUCAGAUACCGUCGUAGUCUUAACCAUAAACUAUGCCGACUAGGAAUCGGGCGAUGUUGAAAAAAUGACGCGCUCGGCACCUCAUG